Molecule: ribosomal RNA, 253 nt
Filed under: uncultured bacterium
Lineage: Bacteria
Description: partial 16S ribosomal RNA
Rfam family: Bacterial small subunit ribosomal RNA
Source: RNAcentral
UACGGAGGGUGCAAGCGUUAUCCGGAUUUACUGGGUUUAAAGGGUGUGUAGGCGGACCUUUAAGUCAGCGGUGAAAUCUCCGGGCUCAACCCGGAAACUGCCAUUGAUACUAUUGGUCUUGAAUGUUGUUGAGGUGGGCGGAACGGGUCAUGUAGCGGUGAAAUGCAUAGAUAUGACCCGGAACACCGAUUGCGAAGGCAGCCCACUAAGCAACGAUUGACGCUGAGGCACGAAAGCGUGGGGAUCAAACAGG